Long non-coding RNA from Salvelinus sp. IW2-2015, 215 nucleotides. RefSeq lists it as uncharacterized. The record is from RefSeq and is a predicted model, not a curated record. NCBI's taxonomy places the organism in Eukaryota, Metazoa, Chordata, Actinopteri, Salmoniformes, Salmonidae.
CUGCCUGUUACGCGAAUGCAGUAAACCAAGAAUUUGUGGAAGCAUGAUGUGGGAUGGAUAGAAAAAACGCAACCUUUACUAUGGCCACUAAUGACCCUGACCAUCUUGACCCCCCCCUGGGACCCCCCAGCCUGGUGACCUCAUUGAGAUCUUCAGACCAGCCUAUCAGCACUGGGCUCUGUACCUGGGAGAAGGUUACAUCAUCAACUUGACAC